Molecule: ribosomal RNA, 405 nt
Filed under: uncultured bacterium
Lineage: Bacteria
Description: bacterial SSU rRNA
Rfam family: Bacterial small subunit ribosomal RNA
Source: RNAcentral
UCUUCCACAAUGGGCGAAAGCCUGAUGCAGCGACGCCGCGUGGGGGAUGAAGGCCUUCGGGUUGUAAACUCCUUUCAACCAUGACGAAGCAUUAUGUGACGGUAGUGGUAGAAGAAGCACCGGCUAACUACGUGCCAGCAGCCGCGGUAAUACGUAGGGUGCGAGCGUUGUCCGGAAUUACUGGGCGUAAAGAGCUCGUAGGUGGUUUGUCGCGUCGUCUGUGAAAUUCCGGGGCUUAACUCCGGGCGUGCAGGCGAUACGGGCAUAACUUGAGUGCUGUAGGGGAGACUGGAAUUCCUGGUGUAGCGGUGAAAUGCGCAGAUAUCAGGAGGAACACCAAUGGCGAAGGCAGGUCUCUGGGCAGUAACUGACGCUGAGGAGCGAAAGCAUGGGUAGCGAACAGGA